Molecule: ribosomal RNA, 2891 nt
Filed under: Pseudomonas aeruginosa
Lineage: Bacteria; Pseudomonadati; Pseudomonadota; Gammaproteobacteria; Pseudomonadales; Pseudomonadaceae
Description: 23S ribosomal RNA
Rfam family: Bacterial large subunit ribosomal RNA
Source: RNAcentral
GGUCAAGUGAAGAAGCGCAUACGGUGGAUGCCUUGGCAGUCAGAGGCGAUGAAAGACGUGGUAGCCUGCGAAAAGCUUCGGGGAGUCGGCAAACAGACUUUGAUCCGGAGAUCUCUGAAUGGGGGAACCCACCUAGGAUAACCUAGGUAUCUUGUACUGAAUCCAUAGGUGCAAGAGGCGAACCAGGGGAACUGAAACAUCUAAGUACCCUGAGGAAAAGAAAUCAACCGAGAUUCCCUUAGUAGUGGCGAGCGAACGGGGAUUAGCCCUUAAGCUUCAUUGAUUUUAGCGGAACGCUCUGGAAAGUGCGGCCAUAGUGGGUGAUAGCCCCGUACGCGAAAGGAUCUUUGAAGUGAAAUCGAGUAGGACGGAGCACGAGAAACUUUGUCUGAACAUGGGGGGACCAUCCUCCAAGGCUAAAUACUACUGACUGACCGAUAGUGAACCAGUACCGUGAGGGAAAGGCGAAAAGAACCCCGGAGAGGGGAGUGAAAUAGAACCUGAAACCGUAUGCGUACAAGCAGUGGGAGCCUACUUGUUAGGUGACUGCGUACCUUUUGUAUAAUGGGUCAGCGACUUAUAUUCAGUGGCAAGCUUAACCGUAUAGGGUAGGCGUAGCGAAAGCGAGUCUUAAUAGGGCGUUUAGUCGCUGGGUAUAGACCCGAAACCGGGCGAUCUAUCCAUGAGCAGGUUGAAGGUUAGGUAACACUGACUGGAGGACCGAACCCACUCCCGUUGAAAAGGUAGGGGAUGACUUGUGGAUCGGAGUGAAAGGCUAAUCAAGCUCGGAGAUAGCUGGUUCUCCUCGAAAGCUAUUUAGGUAGCGCCUCAUGUAUCACUCUGGGGGGUAGAGCACUGUUUCGGCUAGGGGGUCAUCCCGACUUACCAAACCGAUGCAAACUCCGAAUACCCAGAAGUGCCGAGCAUGGGAGACACACGGCGGGUGCUAACGUCCGUCGUGAAAAGGGAAACAACCCAGACCGCCAGCUAAGGUCCCAAAGUUGUGGUUAAGUGGUAAACGAUGUGGGAAGGCUUAGACAGCUAGGAGGUUGGCUUAGAAGCAGCCAUCCUUUAAAGAAAGCGUAAUAGCUCACUAGUCGAGUCGGCCUGCGCGGAAGAUGUAACGGGGCUCAAACCACACACCGAAGCUGCGGGUGUCACGUAAGUGACGCGGUAGAGGAGCGUUCUGUAAGCCUGUGAAGGUGAGUUGAGAAGCUUGCUGGAGGUAUCAGAAGUGCGAAUGCUGACAUGAGUAACGACAAUGGGUGUGAAAAACACCCACGCCGAAAGACCAAGGGUUCCUGCGCAACGUUAAUCGACGCAGGGUUAGUCGGUUCCUAAGGCGAGGCUGAAAAGCGUAGUCGAUGGGAAACAGGUUAAUAUUCCUGUACUUCUGGUUACUGCGAUGGAGGGACGGAGAAGGCUAGGCCAGCUUGGCGUUGGUUGUCCAAGUUUAAGGUGGUAGGCUGAAAUCUUAGGUAAAUCCGGGGUUUCAAGGCCGAGAGCUGAUGACGAGUCGUCUUUUAGAUGACGAAGUGGUUGAUGCCAUGCUUCCAAGAAAAGCUUCUAAGCUUCAGGUAACCAGGAACCGUACCCCAAACCGACGCAGGUGGUCGGGUAGAGAAUACCAAGGCGCUUGAGAGAACUCGGGUGAAGGAACUAGGCAAAAUGGCACCGUAACUUCGGGAGAAGGUGCGCCGGCUAGGGUGAAGGAUUUACUCCGUAAGCUCUGGCUGGUCGAAGAUACCAGGCCGCUGCGACUGUUUAUUAAAAACACAGCACUCUGCAAACACGAAAGUGGACGUAUAGGGUGUGACGCCUGCCCGGUGCCGGAAGGUUAAUUGAUGGGGUUAGCGCAAGCGAAGCUCUUGAUCGAAGCCCCGGUAAACGGCGGCCGUAACUAUAACGGUCCUAAGGUAGCGAAAUUCCUUGUCGGGUAAGUUCCGACCUGCACGAAUGGCGUAACGAUGGCGGCGCUGUCUCCACCCGAGACUCAGUGAAAUUGAAAUCGCUGUGAAGAUGCAGUGUAUCCGCGGCUAGACGGAAAGACCCCGUGAACCUUUACUGUAGCUUUGCACUGGACUUUGAGCCUGCUUGUGUAGGAUAGGUGGGAGGCUUUGAAGCGUGGACGCCAGUUCGCGUGGAGCCAUCCUUGAAAUACCACCCUGGCAUGCUUGAGGUUCUAACUCUGGUCCGUGAUCCGGAUCGAGGACAGUGUAUGGUGGGCAGUUUGACUGGGGCGGUCUCCUCCUAAAGAGUAACGGAGGAGUACGAAGGUGCGCUCAGACCGGUCGGAAAUCGGUCGCAGAGUAUAAAGGCAAAAGCGCGCUUGACUGCGAGACAGACACGUCGAGCAGGUACGAAAGUAGGUCUUAGUGAUCCGGUGGUUCUGUAUGGAAGGGCCAUCGCUCAACGGAUAAAAGGUACUCCGGGGAUAACAGGCUGAUACCGCCCAAGAGUUCAUAUCGACGGCGGUGUUUGGCACCUCGAUGUCGGCUCAUCACAUCCUGGGGCUGAAGCCGGUCCCAAGGGUAUGGCUGUUCGCCAUUUAAAGUGGUACGCGAGCUGGGUUUAGAACGUCGUGAGACAGUUCGGUCCCUAUCUGCCGUGGACGUUUGAGAUUUGAGAGGGGCUGCUCCUAGUACGAGAGGACCGGAGUGGACGAACCUCUGGUGUUCCGGUUGUCACGCCAGUGGCAUUGCCGGGUAGCUAUGUUCGGAAAAGAUAACCGCUGAAAGCAUCUAAGCGGGAAACUUGCCUCAAGAUGAGAUCUCACUGGGAACUUGAUUCCCCUGAAGGGCCGUCGAAGACUACGACGUUGAUAGGCUGGGUGUGUAAGCGUUGUGAGGCGUUGAGCUAACCAGUACUAAUUGCCCGUGAGGCUUGACCAU